Bradysia coprophila is the source of this 373-nucleotide long non-coding RNA. Lineage: Eukaryota; Metazoa; Arthropoda; Insecta; Diptera; Sciaridae. The record is from RefSeq and is a predicted model, not a curated record.
CACACGUCAACACUCCAUGUUUCGCAUUAGCAAAAAAUUUUUUGUUGCAAACAACAAAAAUUAAACCAAAAAAAUAAUCAUAAGACACCGUCAUCGUUCCUCUUUUUAUUUGCAGUCAUAUAUCGAAAGGCGCCGCGAAGCACUAACAAUUUUUCUCAAUAAAUAUUUUCACUGGAAGAGGAGAAAGAUUCCACUCGGAUGGUAUAAACGUGAUCGUAAUUAUAUUUAUGGUUUUCGUUUGUUAUCAGGUGUGAAAUAAAAGUGAUCGAAAAAUGUUUCCACAUUUUUUUUGUAGCAUGCAUUUUAGUUACCAUAAAUUAAGAAAAUACAACUUGUUGAAUAGAACAGAAUGUCGAAUGUGAACAAGUUAGAG